Pelobates cultripes (western spadefoot toad) is the source of this 377-nucleotide non-coding RNA. Lineage: Eukaryota; Metazoa; Chordata; Amphibia; Anura; Pelobatidae. The record is from the annotation of a GenBank genome assembly.
AUUUAAAAUCCCAAUGAAGUAUCAGGAUUGGUUAUAGUGAUUAGAAUGUCAGCAUAUAAACUUAAUUUCUGUUCUACAUCUAAUAUUUUAUAGCCAUUAAUCUUUUUGUUACUUCUAAUUUUCUCAGCUAGUGGUUCAAUAGAGAGCAAAUACAAUAGUGGUGAAAGCGGACACCCCAGUCAUGUCCCAUUUUUCAUUUGGAACCAUGGGGCAGUGAUGUUUGGUCCUUUAGUGCAUGCCAAUGGAUUUACAUAAAGGGCCAUAAUGGCUUUCUUAAUCCAGUCGUCAAGGCCGUAAUGUGACAGUGCAACAUCUGGAUAACUCCAGUUGACUCUGUCAAAUGCUUUUUCAGCAUCAAUCGACAGAGCCAAAACUGG